AGAGUUUGAUCAUGGCUCAGAACGAACGCUGGCGGCAUGCCUAACACAUGCAAGUCGAACGCCCUCUUCGGGAUUAGUGGCGGACGGGUGAGUAACGCGUGGGAACAUACCCUUUGGUACGGAAUAGCCUCGGGAAACUGGGAGUAAUACCGUAUGUGCUCUUCGGAGGAAAGAUUUAUCGCCAAAGGAUUGGCCCGCGUUGGAUUAGGUAGUUGGUGGGGUAAUGGCCUACCAAGCCGACGAUCCAUAGCUGGUUUGAGAGGAUGAUCAGCCACACUGGGACUGAGACACGGCCCAGACUCCUACGGGAGGCAGCAGUGGGGAAUCUUAGACAAUGGGGGAAACCCUGAUCUAGCCAUGCCGCGUGAUCGAUGAAGGCCUUAGGGUUGUAAAGAUCUUUCAGUGGGGAAGAUAAUGACGGUACCCACAGAAGAAGCCCCGGCUAACUCCGUG
Molecule: ribosomal RNA, 453 nt
Filed under: uncultured bacterium
Lineage: Bacteria
Description: bacterial SSU rRNA
Rfam family: Bacterial small subunit ribosomal RNA
Source: RNAcentral